This 1500-nucleotide ribosomal RNA is filed under the name metagenome. Its description in RNAcentral is "bacterial SSU rRNA". It matches the Rfam family "Bacterial small subunit ribosomal RNA". The record is from RNAcentral.
AGGGUUUGAUCCUGGCUCAGAAUGAACGCUGGCGGCGUGGCUAAGACAUGCAAGUCGAACGAACCAUUUAUGGUUAGUGGCGAAAGGGUUAGUAAUGGUUAGGUAACGUACCCCAUGCUUCAGGAUAGCGUCAGUUACUUCGGUAACUUUCCGAAAGGGGCGGUAAUACUGAAUAAUAUCAUAAGUUGAUAGACUUAUGAUCAAAGAUUUAUCGACGUGGGAGCGGCCUAAUUCCUAUCAGCUUGUUGGUGAGGUAAUGGCUCACCAAGGCUAUGACGGGUAGCGGGACUGAGAGGUUGGCCCGCAACAUCGGGACUGAGACACUGCCCGGACCUCCACGGAGGGCUGCAGUAACGAAUAUUGGGCAAUGGGCGAAAGCCUGACCCAGCGACGCCGCGUGUAGGAGGAAGUCCUUCGGGAUGUAAACUACUUUUCGGAGUAAGAAAGUCUUCGGAUUGAUCUAAUCCGGAAUAAGUCGCGGCUAACUUCGUGCCAGCAGCCGCGGUAAUACGAAGGUGGCAAGCGUUAUUCGGUAUCACUGGGCUUAAAGCGUGUGUAGGUGGAAAAGUAAGUGUUUUGUGAAAGCCCUCGGCUCAACCGAGGAAUUGCUUAGCAUACUGCUUUUCUUGAGGCAAGUAGGGGUACGUGGAACUCUUGGUGGAGCGGUGGAAUGCGUAGAUAUCAAGAGGAACGCCGAUGGUGAAGACAAUGUACUGGACUUGUCCUGACACUCAGACACGAAAGCGUGGGGAGCAAACAGGAUUAGAUACCCUGGUAGUCCACGCUGUAAACGAUGCCUACUAGGUCGUGGGAGUUCUGACGCUUUCACGGCCGAAGCAAAAGUGUUAAGUAGGCCGCCUGGGGAGUACGGUCGCAAGGCUAAAACUCAAAGGAAUUGACGGGGGCUCACACAAGCGGUGGAGCAUGUGGAUUAAUUCGAAUCAACGCGCAGAACCUUACCUGGGUUUGACAUGCUUGGAUGCCCUUCUGGAAACAGAAGUAAGCUGCCCUUCGGGGUGAAACUUGCACAGGUGCUGCAUGGCUGUCGUCAGCUCGUGUCGUGAGAUGUCGGGUUAAGUCCUUUAACGAGCGAAACCCUUACCGUUAGUUGCCAGCGCGUCAUGGCGGGGACUCUAACGGGACUGCCGGUGUUAAACCGGAGGAAGGUGGGGAUGACGUCAAGUCCUCAUGGCCUUUAUGCCCAGGGCUUCACACGUGCUACAAUGGUCGAUACAGAGCGACGCAAGACCGCGAGGUGGAGCAAAUCGCGAAAAGUCGGCCCCAGUUCGGAUUGCAGGCUGGCAACUCGCCUGCAUGAAGGUGGAAUCGCUAGUAAUCGCGUGUCAGCUAUAACGCGGUGAAUGUGUUCCUGAGCCUUGUACACACCGCCCGUCAAGUGAUGGGAGUUGGGAGUACCCGAAGUCGGAUUGCUAACCCAGUUUACUGGGAGGCGUCUGCCGACGGUAAGCCCGAUGACUGGCACUAAGUCGAAACAAGGUA